UAAUACGUAGGCAGCGAGCGUUGUUCGGAGUUACUGGGCGUAAAGAGUGCGUAGGCGGUUUUCUAAGUUUGGUGUGAAAUCUCCCGGCUUAACUGGGAGGGUGCGCCGAAGACUGGAAGGCUUGAGUAUGGGAGAGGUAAGCGGAAUUCCUGGUGUAGCGGUGAAAUGCGUAGAUAUCAGGAGGAACACCUGCGGUGUAGACGGCUUACUGGACCAUAACUGACGCUGAGGCACGAAAGCGUGGGUAGCAAACAGGAUUAGAUACCCCGGUAGUCCUGGCCCUAAACGAUGAAUGCUUGGUGUGGCGGGUAUCGAUCCCUGCCGUGCCGAAGCUAACGCAUUAAGCAUUCCGCCUGGGGAGUACGGUCGCAAGGCUG
RNAcentral lists this ribosomal RNA (377 nucleotides) under uncultured bacterium. RNAcentral's name for it is "bacterial SSU rRNA". It matches the Rfam family "Bacterial small subunit ribosomal RNA", at positions 521 to 896 of the family's 1533-position model. The record is from RNAcentral.